This 255-nucleotide ribosomal RNA is filed under the name uncultured bacterium. RNAcentral describes it as "partial 16S ribosomal RNA". It matches the Rfam family "Bacterial small subunit ribosomal RNA", at positions 526 to 779 of the family's 1533-position model. The record is from RNAcentral.
CGGAGGGUGCAAGCGUUAAUCGGAAUUACUGGGCGUAAAGCGUACGUAGGUGGUUUGUUAAGCCAGCUGUGAAAUCCCCGGGCUCAACCUGGGCACUGCAGUUGGAACUGGCAAGCUAGAGUAGGGUAGAGGGGUGUGGAAUUCCAGGUGUAGCGGUGAAAUGCGUAGAUAUCUGGAGGAACAUCAGUGGCGAAGGCGACACCCUGGACUCAUACUGACACUGAGGUACGAAAGCGUGGGGGAGCAAACAGGAUU